This 488-nucleotide ribosomal RNA is filed under the name uncultured bacterium. RNAcentral describes it as "partial 16S ribosomal RNA". It matches the Rfam family "Bacterial small subunit ribosomal RNA", at positions 32 to 507 of the family's 1533-position model. The record is from RNAcentral.
AACGCUGGCGGCAUGCUUUACACAUGCAAGUCGAACGGUAACAGGCCUUCGGGUGCUGACGAGUGGCGAACGGGUGAGUAAUGCAUCGGAACGUACCCAGAGGUGGGGGAUAACGCAGCGAAAGCUGUGCUAAUACCGCAUGUGAUCUGAGGAUGAAAGCGGGGGACCGAGCAGCAAUGUUUGGCCUCGCGCCUUUGGAGCGGCCGAUGUCGGAUUAGCUAGUUGGUGGGGUAAAGGCCUACCAAGGCGACGAUCCGUAGCUGGUCUGAGAGGACGACCAGCCACACUGGGACUGAGACACGGCCCAGACUCCUACGGGAGGCAGCAGUGGGGAAUUUUGGACAAUGGGCGCAAGCCUGAUCCAGCAAUGCCGCGUGCGGGAAGAAGGCCUUCGGGUUGUAAACCGCUUUUGGCGGGAACGAAACGGUGUCCGCUAAUACCGGGCGCUAAUGACGGUACCUGCAGAAUAAGCACCGGCUAACUACGUG